GAUUAUCCCGCUAGAACUUAAGCAUAUCAA
RNAcentral lists this ribosomal RNA (30 nucleotides) under Amylomyces rouxii. Its description in RNAcentral is "partial 28S ribosomal RNA". The record is from RNAcentral. Lineage: Eukaryota; Fungi; Mucoromycota; Mucoromycetes; Mucorales; Mucoraceae.